AUGCUCAAGGCCUCGCUCUUCCCGCACCACGCGCUCCCGACCGCCAGGCUGCUCGCCUCCCCGCUCGCGCCGCUGCCCUACGCGCUCUCCCUCUUCGCCGCCAUUCCGUGCCCCACCCUCUUCCACCACACGGCCCUCCUCCGCGCCCUCUCCGCGUCACCCUCCUUCUCCUCGGCCGCCUCCGCGUCCCUCGCCGUCCUCGCCUCCGCCCGCGCGCGCCUCCCGGCGCUGGACGAGUUCGCCUUCCAGCCGCUCGUCGCGCUCUGCGCCAAGAACUCCGGCGACGACGCGGCGGCCUCGCUCGGGCGGCAGGUUCAUGCGCUCGUGCUGCCGUACGGGUUCUCGGGCGUCGUGGGCCUGGGGAACGUGCUGUGCCACUUCUACUGCUGCAUAGGGAACAUGGGGGACGCGCGGAGGAUGUUCGAUGAAAUGCCUGAGAGGGACACCGUGUCGUGGAACACGAUGAUCGGAAGCUAUGCCAGGGCCGGGGAGAUCAGUGCGGCGGUGGAGAUGUUCGGCGCUAUGAUGUGCUGUGGUGUGGAUGUCAGUGCGACGGCGGUGGUCGCCUUGGCUGCGUGCGGGUGGCAAGGGGAGUCAGUGCAUGGGUUCAGCGUCAAGACAGGGUUCUGCAAGGAUGUCAAGGUGGCGGCAGCAAUGGAGGGGAUGUAUUUUAGGAAAGGGGAGAUUGGAUGUGCAAAGAAGGUCUUCGAAGAGGCGACGAGGAGGGACUUGGUGCUGUAUAAUUGCAUGGUGGAUAGCUGCGCAAAGGCCAGGCGAAUCGAGGAGGCAAUGGGCUUGGUGGAUAGGAUGAGACAGGAGGGACUGAAACCAAACACAGGGACUCUUGUGGGUGUGCUCUCUGCGUGUGGAGCAUCGGGGGCAAUCGUACCCGGUCGUCGCAUCCAUGAGCUUGCGCUGGAGAUUGGUCUUGAGCUUGACACUGCACUAGGAACAUCGCUCGUGGAUAUGUACUUCAAGUGUGGGUACCCAAAGGAGGCAAUUGCAGUUUUUUAUGCAAUGCGCGACAGGGAUGUGAUGGCAUGGACUGCGAUGAUCAUGGGGUUGGGGGUUAAUGGGCAGUCAGAUGCCGCAAUAUCACUGUUUCACUCAAUGCAGCAAGACGGUGUCACUCCUAACGAGGUUACCUUUCUUGCUGUGCUGAAUGCUUGUAGCCAUGGCGGGUUAGUGUUUGAAGGGAAGAAGCACCUCGAGAGCAUGGUCCGGAAAUAUGGUAUGUCUCCUCACACCGAACACUAUGGCUGCAUCAUCGAUCUCCUCGGAAAGGCAGGGCGAUUGGAUGAAGCGUAUGAGCUUAUAAGAAGUUUGUCGUCCCAUGGCGAUGCUAUGGGAUGGAGAACUUUACUUGCAGCCUGCAGAGUUCAUGGCAAUGUCGAACUGGGGAGGACGGUGCAGGCAAGGCUGGACGCCAUGGGCAAUUACCAUCCGUCAGAUACCAUUCUGCUGUCGAACGCAUAUGCACUGGGAGACCGUUGGGAUGAAAUAGCACAGGCCAGGGAUUCGCAAGGGCAGAAAAUGGUCAUGGACAGGAAAGAAGCGGGUUGCAGCGCCAUUGAGGUGUCUUCCUCAGAUAUCUAA
This 1596-nucleotide ribosomal RNA is filed under the name Triticum aestivum (bread wheat). RNAcentral describes it as "partial small subunit ribosomal RNA". Lineage: Eukaryota; Viridiplantae; Streptophyta; Magnoliopsida; Poales; Poaceae. The record is from RNAcentral.